RNAcentral lists this ribosomal RNA (253 nucleotides) under uncultured bacterium. RNAcentral's name for it is "partial 16S ribosomal RNA". It matches the Rfam family "Bacterial small subunit ribosomal RNA", at positions 524 to 776 of the family's 1533-position model. The record is from RNAcentral.
GACGAAGGAUCCAAGCGUUGUCCGGAUUUACUGGGUUUAAAGGGUGCGUAGGCGGAUAAAUAAGUCAGUGGUGAAAGCCUUCAGCUUAACUGAAGAAUUGCCAUUGAAACUGCUUAUCUCGAGUACGGCUGAGGUAGCUGGAAUGUAACAUGUAGCGGUGAAAUGCUUAGAUAUGUUACAGAACACCAAUUGCGAAGGCAAGCUACUAAACCGUAACUGACGCUGAGGCACGAAAGCGUGGGGAGCAAACAGG